GCCGGGCGGGGAGAUCUGGGGCGGGGAGGACCGAGGCGGGGAGAGCCUGGGCGGGGGUCGUUCUCGGCCUCGCCGGAAAGCCGGGGCUUGUGGGGCGGGGCGAUCUCGGCUGUGGCGAGACAGCCUGGGAGGGGGGCGCCCUUGGCCGCUCGGGGAGAUCUGGUGCGGGGGUCGUUCUCGGCCGCGCCGGGAAAGCCGGGGCAUGGGGCGGGGGGCGAUCUCGGCUGUGGCUGGACAGUCUGGUCCGGAGGCGGCCUCUGCCGUGCGGGAGAGCCGUGGCGCGGGGAGAGCCGGGGCGGGGUUCGGUCUCCGCUGCGCAGAUCGUGGCGGCUGGGGCCUGCGGGCGGGCUGCUGUGGACAGCGCUGAGCCGCCUGCCGAGACUGUUGAGAGGCGCGCGACUCCCGGAGGCUUGGCCUGAGGUGGCUGCUGGGGGCUCGGUGCCUGCCUGGAGGCCGCAGGGAGAAGGCGGGCCUGGGGCUGGGGCUGGCGGCCCUCCAGCUCCGACAAGGGACCUGUGCCCGCGCACUACCAGCUAGUCUUCACCUGCGAUGUCUGUGGGACUGGGUACUCCAAGCAUAUCUCCAAGCUUGCCUAUCACCAGGGUGUGGUCAUUGUGACCUGUCCUGGCUGCCAGACCCACCACACCACCCCGGACAACCUGGGUUGGUUCUCGGACCUGGAUGGGAAGAGGAAUAUUGAAGAAAUCCUGGCAGUCAGAAGGGAGAAGAUCCAAGAGACUCAGAGAGUUUGCCGCUGUCAGGCUGUCACUGAGAGUGAGGACGGUUGGAUUGAAGGAAGAAAUGAACGAAUCCCAGAAGGAACGAGUGGAGAGUGAGACACGAGGUGGGGAAAUGGGAUACACAGGAUUGUAGCAAAGCCCCCCAGGCGAAAGCAGACUCAGUGCUCUGGGGAUAGAAGUCGAUGCGGACCCACCUUGGCUGUGCUGAGCAGGAGAAAUUCCCCGGUGAGUGACUCUCACCGAGACCUACUGCCCUGCUUCAAUUGUCUCCUAGGGAUUCAGGGACAACCCCACUGUCCUGUGAGCAGACCUCUUUCUACCCAAAUCUACAUCACACACACACAAGGCAACAUGAAUUAAAAUAUCUCUACUACAUUGCACUGAU
Long non-coding RNA from Camelus dromedarius (Arabian camel), 1125 nucleotides. RefSeq lists it as uncharacterized. The record is from RefSeq and is a predicted model, not a curated record. The transcript has 3 exons. NCBI's taxonomy places the organism in Eukaryota, Metazoa, Chordata, Mammalia, Artiodactyla, Camelidae.